Molecule: small nuclear RNA, 33 nt
Filed under: Cervus elaphus hippelaphus
Lineage: Eukaryota; Metazoa; Chordata; Mammalia; Artiodactyla; Cervidae
Source: RNAcentral
CACUUCUCGGCCCUUUGGCUAACAUCAAGUGUA